Molecule: ribosomal RNA, 372 nt
Filed under: uncultured bacterium
Lineage: Bacteria
Description: bacterial SSU rRNA
Rfam family: Bacterial small subunit ribosomal RNA
Source: RNAcentral
AGAGGGUGCGAGCGUUGUCCGGAAUCACUGGGCGUAAAGGGCGCGUAGGUGGUGGCUUAAGCGUGCGGUGAAAGCUCGGAGCUCAACUCCGAGUCGGCCGUGCGAACUGGGCUCACUGGAGCAUAGUAGAGGCAGGUGGAAUUCCGGGUGUAGCGGUGGAAUGCGUAGAGAUCCGGAAGAACACCGGUGGCGAAGGCGGCCUGCUGGGCUAUGGCUGACACUGAGGCGCGACAGCGUGGGGAGCAAACAGGAUUAGAUACCCUGGUAGUCCACGCCGUAAACGAUGGGCACUAGGUGCUUGGGGGAGCGACCCCCUGGGUGCCGGCGCUAACGCAUGAAGUGCCCCGCCUGGGGAGUACGGCCGCAAGGCUG